GGAAGAAGCAAAAUUAGAGCGUAUGGGGGAUGCCUAGACUCUCAGAGGCUACGAAGGACGUGAUAAGCUGCGAAAAGCUGCGGGGAGAUGCAAAUAAUCACAGAUCCGCAGAUGUCCGAAUGGGGAAACCUGUCUAGUUGAAGACUAGACUUAAGCGAACGCAGGGAACUGAAACAUCUAAGUACCUGUAGGAAAAGAGACCAAUAGGGAUUCCGUAAGUAGUGGCGAGCGAAAGCGGACGAGCCUAAAGCAUGGAAGUUAGUGGAAUUGUUUGGGAAAGCAAACCGAAGGAAGUGAGAGUCUUGUACACGAAAACGACCAUGUGGAAUCAAGUAGGGCGGAACCAGAGGAAUUCUGUCUGAAGAAGGCUGUACCAUCAGCCAAGGCUAAAUACUCCUGAGAGAUCGAUAGCGAAGAGUACCGUGAGGGAAAGGUGAAAAGAACCGCGAGUAGCGGAGUGCAAAGAACCUGAAACCAUACGUUUACAAGCGGUCGGAGCGCGAGCGACGGCGUGCCUUUUGCAUAAUGAGCCUACGAGUUAUACCUGUCUAUCAAGUUUAAGUGCUUAAGGCACGAAGGCGUAGCGAAAGCGAGUCUGAAUAGGGCGCUAGGUAGAUGGGAUAGACGCGAAACCGAGUGAUCUAUCCAUGGGCAGGUUGAAGUUGUGGUAACACACCAUGGAGGACCGAACCAGUUGACGUUGAAAAGUCUUUGGAUGACCUGUGGAUAGGGGUGAAAGGCUAAUCAAACUCGGAGAUAGCUCGUACUCCCCGAAAUGCAUUUAGGUGCAGCGUUUUGAAGUUUGUCAUGGAGGUAGAGCUACCGAUAGGGCUAGGGGGCUUCACCGCCUACCAACCCCUGACGAACUCCGAAUGCCAUGACAUGAACAAGGCAGUGAGGCUGCGGGUGCGAAGGUCAGCAGCCGAGAGGGGAACAACCCAGACCAUCAGCUAAGGUCCCCAAGUAUGGACUAAGUUGGAUAAACGAGGUGGGAAUGCAGUGACAGCUAGGAUGUUGGCUUGGAAGCAGCCAUUCAUUUAAAGAGUGCGUAACAGCUCACUAGUCGAGCGUUCCUGCGCGGAAAAUAAGCGGGCAUCAAGUCCAUCACCGAAGCUAUGGAUUAAUGGUAGGGGAGCAUUGUAGUAUCGGCGAAGGUUAGCUGUGAGGCUGAUUGGAGAGACUACAAAAGCAAAUGUAGGCAUGAGUAACGAUAAUUACGAUGAGAAAUCGUAACGCCGUAAGACUAAGGGUUCCGUGUUCUAUGCUAAUCAGAACCGGGUUAGUCGGGACCUAAGGGGUAGCCGAUAGGCGAACCUAAUGGAAAUAAGGUUAAUAUUCCUUAACCUGCAUACGAAUAAAGGGGACGGGGGUAUGUAGUUAGUGGGUACAGACGGAAUUGUGCGCGGAGAGGGAUACCUUGGUAUCGGUCGAACUAAUGAGUUACCCUCCAAGAAAAGCCGAAGUAUGCAGCUCGUACCGUAAACCGACACAGGUAGUCGAGGAGAGUAUCCUAAGGCGCUCGAGUGAUCCGUGGCUAAGGAACUAGGCAAAAUAGCCCCGUAACUUCGGGAGAAGGGGCGCUCCGCGAGGAGCCGCAGUGAAGAGGUCCAGGCGACUGUUUAACAAAAACACAGGGCUCUGCUAAAUCGAGAGAUGAAGUAUAGGGUCUGACACCUGCCCGGUGCUGGAAGGUUAAGGAAGGGGGUUAGCGCAAGCGAAGCUUUUGACUGAAGCCCCAGUAAACGGCGGCCGUAACUAUAACGGUCCUAAGGUAGCGAAAUUCCUUGUCGGGUAAGUUCCGACCUGCACGAAUGGUGUAACGAUCUGGACACUGUCUCGGCCACGAGCUCGGUGAAAUUGAAGUAUCGGUGAAGAUGCCGAUUACCCGCAAUGGGACGAAAAGACCCCGUGAACCUUUACUAUAGCUUCACAUUGUGCUUGAGUAUAAGAUGUGUAGGAUAGGUGGGAGACAGAGAAGUUGAGACGCUAGUCUUGAUGGAGUCGUCGUUGAAAUACCACCCUUCUUAUACUUAGGUUCUAACUCUGAGAGGAGGACAUUGUGUGGUGGGUAGUUUGACUGGGGUGGUCGCCUCCUAAAAAGUAACGGAGGCUCGCAAAGG
This 2120-nucleotide ribosomal RNA is filed under the name Saprospiraceae bacterium. RNAcentral describes it as "partial 23S ribosomal RNA". It matches the Rfam family "Bacterial large subunit ribosomal RNA", at positions 1 to 2316 of the family's 2925-position model. Lineage: Bacteria; Pseudomonadati; Bacteroidota; Saprospiria; Saprospirales; Saprospiraceae. The record is from RNAcentral.